This 460-nucleotide ribosomal RNA is filed under the name uncultured bacterium. RNAcentral's name for it is "partial 16S ribosomal RNA". It matches the Rfam family "Bacterial small subunit ribosomal RNA", at positions 338 to 795 of the family's 1533-position model. The record is from RNAcentral.
CCUACGGGUGACAGCAGUGAGGAAUAUUGGUCAAUGGGCGCGAGCCUGAACCAGCCAAGUAGCGUGAAGGAUGACUGCCCUACGGGUUGUAAACUUCUUUUAUAAAGGAAUAAAGUGCGGCACGUGUGCCUUUUUGUAUGUACUUUAUGAAUAAGGAUCGGCUAACUCCGUGCCAGCAGCCGCGGUAAUACGGAGGAUCCGAGCGUUAUCCGGCUUUAUUGGGUUUAAAGGGAGCGUAGAUGGGUUGUUAAGUCAGUUGUGAAAGUUUGCGGCUCAACCGUAAAAGUGCAAUUGAUACUGGCAGCCUUGAGUACAGUUGAGGUAGGCGGAAUGCGUGGUGUAGCGGUGAAAUGCUUAGAUAUCACGAAGAACUCCGAUUGCGAAGGCAGCUUACUAACCUGCAACUGACAUUGAUGCUCGAAAGUGUGGGUAUCAAACAGGAUUAGAUACCCCAGUAGUC